UUAAUCGGAGAUGAAAGCCUCUCAGAUUUGUCUGCUCUGGCUGGCUUCGAGUGAAACGCAAUCCUCAGAUCUCAGCCUCCUGAAUAGUUAGGAUUACUAGCUACUAGGUAGGCAGGUAGGUAUGAGUCACUCACUCGUACCUGGCCCCAUGCAAUAUUUUCUCAGUUUUCCUCACUGUCUUGUGACCUCCUAUUCACACUUACUAUGCUAUCAAUGUUUGUCAGGGCAUCUGAUCUCUCACAUGACCACACUUUCCUAUUAUAAAGAAAAAUAGAACAUUGCACUUGAACUCACUCUUCCAUUUUAGGAUUAAUAUGUUUCUAGCUUUUUACUAUCAAAUGCUGUAGCAGUUACCCUUUGUCCAUCUUUCCACACAUUCAAUGAUUUUCUUGAAGAAAGGUUCCUUAAAGUUGAAUUUUUGGGCCAAAAAGUAAGCAUACUAAUAGAGUGUGUAAUUUAGAAAUUUUCUUUCCUUAAAAUUUUGCAAGUUUAAAUUAUCAUCACUAGUGUGGAUCUGUUAAACUAAUUGUGCUUUUCUUAGGUGGACUCUUCAAAUUCAAAAUAUUAAUAUCACCUAAAAUGAUAUACUGUAUUAUUUUAAUCUUUAAAUUG
Long non-coding RNA from Perognathus longimembris pacificus (Pacific pocket mouse), 612 nucleotides. RefSeq lists it as uncharacterized. The record is from RefSeq and is a predicted model, not a curated record. Lineage: Eukaryota; Metazoa; Chordata; Mammalia; Rodentia; Heteromyidae. The transcript is spliced from 3 exons.